UGGGGACGCCUACGCGCAGGAGUAGCUCGUUGGAGCUAGUAAGGAGCUGCCUCCCACGCCACAGCCUUUCUAAAAAUAGACUUUCUUCCCUCCUACUUCGUCUUUUUUUUUUUUUUUUUUUUUGGGCCGCACCCCCAGCAAGUGGAGGUUCCCAGGCUAGGGGUCCAAUCGGAGCUGCAGCUGCUGGCCUACGCCACAGCCACGUGAGAUCCAAGCCGUGUCUGCGACCUACCCCACAGCUCACCGCAAGGCCGGAUCCUUAACCCACUGAUCAAGGCCAGGGAUGGAGCCCGCAACCUCAUGGUUCCUAGUCGGAUUCGUUAACCCCUGAGCCAUGACAACAACUCCCUCUUCCCGCCUAUCUAUGCUCCGGAGCUGAAUGUUCUCACUACAUAAUUACCUAGAACAGCCAGCACUUCAGCAGACUGGGGGGAAUUUGCCAGUUUAAAUGGCCCUAUGGAUGGCUACAAAAUAAAGAUAUAAAGCCUCCUGUGAUCCUGGUGACAGUAGCGGGAGGAGGAAAUAGGGUCCAGACUGGCAGCGGAGGAUGAGGAGGCUGCGGCCAGGAGUCCAGGAAGCAGCAGCAACUGGAGCUGAAGGAGGGGCCGAAGCCUGGGGACAGGCAGUGCACCUCUGCCGCAUCACAUUCACCGCUUUGCGGCUGUGGGUGGAGAGCCUUUUACACUGCACUGGAUACUCCCAUGUGUUCCCUUGAGCCAAAAGCCACCUAGAGGGCCCAAGGCCACCAGGGGCUCCUGCCCCAGGACUCUGGGAUGUGGGCACCACCUACUGGGCGUCAAGAAAGGAGUUUGCAAGAUGCAUGGGAGUGACUGAAGCCAGAGUGCAGGUGAAGAAACGAUGCGGCUCAGAUCUGGUGUGGCUGUGGUGUAGCCAGCAGUUGCAGAUCCAAUUUGAUCCCUAGCCUGGGAACUUCCAUAUGCCUAGGGUGCAGCCCUAAAAAGUGAAAGAAAAGAAAAGAAAAAGAAAUGCAGCUUGGAGAGGUUAAGUAAUUUGCCCAAUGUCUUGACUUUCUUAAAUUAACAUCUGCUAAGCGGAGGAUAGCAUGCCAGAUGGUGAGCCAAUGUUCAACAACAGUCCAUAAGAGAAAUUGAAAUAGAGUAGUUUAUUACUCACAGGUCCUGGAGAAAGUACCCAGGACACCUUAAGGGACCACAGGGGGAAGGCAAGGUAGGGUGCAGGCAGAGAGUGUCAGGACUUGGGACAUGCCUUUAUUAGGGUCUCUGAAUGGAGUACUUUGGGGUUCCCAGGCUAGGGUCAGACUGGUCAAUUUAAACCAAAAGAGUAGGGAUUUGGAUAAGCCCCACUGGGUCUUCUCUAAGGGGGCAAUAUUGCACACAGGCACUGGAAGCCAGGGAGACUGUAGAUCAAAGGGCUGCUGGGGAAGUCAUAUCAGGAACUUAGAUUUGCUUGUGACUCUAUCUGGGGCAUGUGCUUACAUCAGUUUAGGGUCCCCGAAAGUCCUGCAAAUAAAAUGGACGCUGAGGCAGCAA
RNAcentral lists this long non-coding RNA (1511 nucleotides) under Sus scrofa (pig). RNAcentral describes it as "lncRNA (ENSSSCG00040049478.1)". Lineage: Eukaryota; Metazoa; Chordata; Mammalia; Artiodactyla; Suidae. The record is from RNAcentral.